This 28-nucleotide non-coding RNA is filed under the name Bombyx mori (domestic silkworm). Lineage: Eukaryota; Metazoa; Arthropoda; Insecta; Lepidoptera; Bombycidae. The record is from RNAcentral.
UCUAUAGUCGUCUGGAAUAGCUGCCUGC